AAUUUCAAAAAAGUCUUGGAAUGAUAUAGCUAAUAUAUGAAAUUUAUCUAUAUCAAAAGUUUGUGAUUUUUUAAUGUUUUCAAGCAAGUAAGGUAACUGUAUUUAUAUUAGAUUUCUUUGAAGAAAACUUUAAGCUUAUUGCAGAAAAUGAAAUGCCACAAAGUUUUAAAUGUUUUGAUUGUUUGAAAUUAAAAAAAUAUCCUUCAAAUGGCUUUAUAUUUAGAAAAAUAAGUCUAAAAGUCCAAAGAAAAAAAUAUGAAGUAUAAUGUAUUUUUUUCCUACAUGAAAUUAACAACAUUAUCUCUCAAAUUUCCUAUUUGGUCAAUUUCAAAGAGGCGGUUUUUGGAAAAAUUUAAAAAUUUAUAUUGGUAAAUUUUUAUAAUAACAUUUAAGAAGAUUAGAAACCAAUUUUGUUGUACUUAUAAUUCUUUGAAUCAUAAUAAAGACUAACGUAUUUUAACUUGUAAUAAAAUAUUAAUUUAGUUUAUGUCAUGGCUUCUUUUUAUUUAAAACUAUAUCAAAAGGCAUAGGUUCUCAAAUGAAGACUUUUCUUUAUCAAAGAAGAGAUCUUUGUAAGUCUUUUGAAUUUUGGCCCUUUAGAGUGGACUUUUAAUUAAGAAAUGCCCUUAAAUUUCAAUGAAUAAUAAGUAA
Molecule: long non-coding RNA, 651 nt
Filed under: Physcomitrium patens
Lineage: Eukaryota; Viridiplantae; Streptophyta; Bryopsida; Funariales; Funariaceae
Description: long non-coding RNA (PPAT_LNC006235)
Source: RNAcentral